GAGAACUGCCAAGUCAGUUCCGGUCCGGCAGAGAUCGCGGAGAGACGCAGAACGCAGCCCGCUCCUCCAGGGCCCUCCAGGCCCUCCGGCCCCGGGCCGGCGGGUGAACUGGGGGGCCCCGGGACAGGCCGAGCCCUCUGCCCUGCAGAUAACGGAGGCCUCUGCUGUGGCUGCCCACUGGCUGUGCCCGCCCACUGGCUGUGCCCAGACCUUGAAGCCGCAGCGAACCUCUCUUUCCCACCCCACCUCGGUGACUAAUGGCGGCCGUGGCGUCUCCCAGCCCGGACCCCGCCGGCACCCGGGUCUCCCGACCCAAGCCUCGACGAAACCCCCGCAGAGCCGCCGGGACGCAGCGCCUUUGGGCGGCGCUGGGCGUGGUGGGCCGGGAAGUAUGGCGGCAGCUCGAACGCCGCGCGGCGGAGGCCAUUAAGGCGUGGACGGCCCGGGAAGGCGGCCUAGGGACGCAAGCAGGCUCGGCCGCCUCUUUAGGCCACGGAGCCGCGCAGAUCCGGUUCCCGGGUGACCACUCUGUCGCCAUUGGGCGAGACCUACCUAGUCCUGACGACAACGGACAAAGGCCUUAAGGGGCCUGGAAGGUGAGCGAAGUCCCGAACGACGACGGGUGGAACGGUUAGCGGCCAUCGGGCGGUUGGUCUUCAUUCUACCAGACUUUGCUGUCGGAAGAGAGAAAUGGUAGAAUGACAGGCCACGUUUGGCCCGUUGGAAAUGCCCACCACCCUCUGGGAAGAUUUACUGGCCGUUUAUGGAAGGCCUGUGUAUAUAAUAUGAAAAAGCUGCUCUCAACUCCACCCCAACCUUUUAAUAGAAAACAUUUGUCACAUCUAGCCCUUCUAGAUGGAAAGAGGUUGCCGACGUAUGAUAAAAUAGAGUUAGAAAGUUACACAUCUUGUAAAUUCUCAUUUGUUUAAAAGAAAUCAUAGAAAAUACAUGUCUUCUGGAGAUGACUUUUGGAAAUGGAGUUGUUAAGACGGCCUCUGGAAGCGAUACGUCCACGUUUGUUAAGUGGGUUAGAUGACAUGGAGCUGGAAGACCUGAGAAGGAAGAGAAGAAGGUUCUAUGCUAGACUGGUCAUAUUUAGAAGACAUUUUCAUAUUCUAUCCAUUGUUUUGUGUGCAUUUUAUUCCUCACUACUGUGUAUAUAGUUGACAAUGCUAAGCUUUUUUGAAAUGUCUCUUCUUUUUAGAUGUUCUGAAGUGCCUGAUAUGUUAAAAUUAGAGGUAGCAAAAUCACAUUUUGUAAAUACCUUUUUGUUACAAUUCAUAGGAAAUAUUUUUGGGGGGGAAUGGCCAAAUCACCUGUUGAGUAAUACUCAUUGUGUUUGUGCAGUGGUUCAGGGGAGGAGAGAGGAGGGGGAGGUGCAGAGAGCUCUAUGCCAUCCUGUUUACAGCGAGGCAAGAUGAAUCAUUAUGUCUGUGCAUUUUGUUUUACUUAUCUGUGUAUAUAGUGUACAUAAAGGACAGACGAGUCCUAAUUGACAACAUCUAGUCUUUCUGGAUGUUAAAGAGGUUGCCAGUGUAUGACAAAAGUAGAGUUAGUAAACUAACAUUUUGUACACUUUGUUAAAAUUUGUAGAAAGGCUGUCUUCUGAAAAGGACUUUUGGAAGUGAGAUAACAUCAGCUCUAAGUGACACGUGCCUAUAUCCAUCAGGUUGGUGGUGGAGAGGAGUUGGAAGGAAUGAAGGGUUCUAGACCAGAAUGUUCGUAUUUAGAAGACACUAUCAGAUAUAACCAUUGUUACAUGUGUGUAGUUUAUUCAACCCUACUGUGUAUAUAGCGGACAAACUUAAGUCCUUAUUUGAAACAUCUAGUCUUUCUAGAUGUUUAGAAGUGCACAAAGUAUGUUAAAAGUAGAGGUAGUAAAUAACACAUUUUGUAGCUAUCCUUUUGAUAUGAAAUAUUGUCUUGGAAAUUGAUCAAUUCUCUGAGCAGUACCCAUUUUGAUAUUUGUGCUGGUUCAGGGGGAAGGAGGAGCACAAAGUGCAAAGGGCUUUCUACCAGUGUCCAGUGUGUUUAUGAGGAGGCACAUUGACCAUUGUCCCUUAUGUCUGCAUUUUCAUUUACUGUGCUGUGUAUAUAGUGUAUAUAAGCGGACAUAGGAGUCCUAAUUUACGUCUAGUCGAUGUUAAAAAGGUUGCCAGUAUAUGACAAAAGUAGAAUUAGUAAACUACUACAUUGAGUACACUUUGUGUUAAAAUUCAUAGGGAAGACUUCUUAAAAACAAGUGAAAUUGUUAAAACCCCCCCUAAGCAUUACAGAUGGCUUAUAGCUGUCCACGGGGUUGGUAGAGGUGGGAAAGGGAAGGGUUCUAGGCCAGAAUGUUCCUAUUUAGAAGACACUCAAAUUACAGUCUGUGUUAUGUAUGUAUACCAUUUAUUCAAUGCUACUGUGUAUAUAAUGGAAAACUUAAGUCCAGUUUGAAACAUCUAGUCUUUCUAGGUGUUUAAAAGUGUACAACGGCCUGUCGCAGUGGCGCAUGCCUGUAAUCCCAGCACUUUGGGAGGCCGAGGCAGGCGGAUCACGAGGUCAAGAGAUCAGGACCAUCUUGGCCAACAUGGUGAAACCCCAUCUUUACUAAAAAUACAAAAAUUAGCUGGUCGUGGUGGUGCCCACCUGUAGCCCCAGUUACUCGAGAGGCUGAGGCAGGAGAAUCGCUUGAACUUGGGAGGCGGAAGUUGCAGUGAGCCAAGAUCGCACCACUGCACUCCAGCCUGGCGACAGAGCGAGGCUCCGUUUCAAAAAAAAAAGUGCACAAUGUAGGUUAACAGUAGAGGGCUUAAGUAACACCCCUCUAAGCAUUUGUUUUCAGUACUUCCUAGGAGUGGUUGCAUUUGGGAAUGGAAUUGUUAAAACUUGAUGCUUAGGAGCGAAUGCAGACUAUUCAUUGGGUGUUUGGGGUGGGGGAAGGGGGGGUGGGCAGAGGAGGUAUGCAGGGAGAGGGGUUCUGUGCUCCUGAGAUUAGUUCAGAUGGUCUAACCAUUGUUCUAUAUGUGCAUUUUAGUUAAUAUUGUGUAUUAAAGGAUAAGUCUUAAUGCUCAAAGUAUGUUAAAAAUAGAUGUAGUAAAUCAGUCCCUUUGUGAAUGUCCUUUUGUUAGUUUUUAGGAAGGCCUGUCCUCUGGGAGUGACCUUUAUUAGUCCACCCCUUGGAGCUAGACAUCCUGUACUUAGUCACGGGGAUGGUGGAAGAGGGAGAAGAGGAAGGGUGAAGGGAAGGGCUCUUUGCUAGUAUCUCCAUAUCUAGACGAUGGUUUUAGAUGAUAACCACAGGUCUACAAGAGCGUUUUUAGUAAAGUGCCUGUGUUCAUUGUGGACAAAGUUAUUAUUUUGCAACAUCUAAGCUUUACGAAUGGGGUGACAACUUAUGAUAAAAACUAGAGCUAGUGAAUUAGCCUAUUUGUAAAUACCUUUGUUAUAAUUGAUAGGAUACAUCUUGGACAUGGAAUUGUUAAGCCACCUCUGAGCAGUGUAUGUCAGGACUUGUUCAUUAGGUUGGCAGCAGAGGGGCAGAAGGAAUUAUACAGGUAGAGAUGUAUGCAGAUGUGUCCAUAUAUGUCCAUAUUUACAUUUUGAUAGCCAUUGAUGUAUGCAUCUCUUGGCUGUACUAUAAGAACACAUUAAUUCAAUGGAAAUACACUUUGCUAAUAUUUUAAUGGUAUAGAUCUGCUAAUGAAUUCUCUUAAAAACAUACUGUAUUCUGUUGCUGUGUGUUUCAUUUUAAAUUGAGCAUUAAGGGAAUGCAGCAUUUAAAUCAGAACUCUGCCAAUGCUUUUAUCUAGAGGCGUGUUGCCAUUUUUGUCUUAUAUGAAAUUUCUGUCCCAAGAAAGGCAGGAUUACAUCUUUUUUUUUUUUUUUAGCAGUUUGAGUUGGUGUAGUGUAUUCUUGGUUAUCAGAAUACUCAUAUAGCUUUGGGAUUUUGAAUUGGUAAAUAUUCAUGAUGUGUGAAAAAUCAUGAUACAUACUGUACAGUCUCAGUCCCAUAAAAUUGGAUGUUGUGCCUACACACAGGAUCUAGAAGAAUAUGUCAAACUAUAAACUGCUUGUGAUUGUGAAUGACUUUGUUCUUUGCUUGUGUUUUUCAAUUUCCUAUAAUGCACAUACUAACUUUUAAAAAAUAAAGGUUAUUUUAAAAGCCUGUAUUAAGCCCUCGUUGCUUGUAGAAUAGAGUUAGUAUACGCUACAGAAGCACAGGUUCAUGCUCCUUCAUGCUUGGGCUCUGAGGUAUCUGGAAUUUCUCAUCUUUGACUCCUC
RNAcentral lists this long non-coding RNA (4266 nucleotides) under Homo sapiens (human). RNAcentral describes it as "non-protein coding NORAD:2". Lineage: Eukaryota; Metazoa; Chordata; Mammalia; Primates; Hominidae. The record is from RNAcentral.